Molecule: ribosomal RNA, 300 nt
Filed under: uncultured Legionella sp.
Lineage: Bacteria; Pseudomonadati; Pseudomonadota; Gammaproteobacteria; Legionellales; Legionellaceae
Description: bacterial SSU rRNA
Rfam family: Bacterial small subunit ribosomal RNA
Source: RNAcentral
CCCCUAACGCGAACCCGCUAACCCCCUGCCAUUAGGGACAAUAAUACGGAGGGUGCGAGCGUUAAUCGGAAUUAUUGGGCGUAAAGGGUGCGUAGGUGGUUGAAUAAGUUAUCUGUGAAAUCCCUGGGCUUAACCUGGGGGAGAGAGAUAAGACUGUCUGACUAGAGUAUGGGAGAGGGUACUGGAAUUUCCGGUGUGGCGGUGAAAUGCGUAGAGAUCGGAAGGAACACCGGUGGCGAAGGCGGCUACCUGGCCUAAUACUGACACUGAGGCACGAAAGCGUGGGGAGCAGACAGGAUU